RNAcentral lists this ribosomal RNA (252 nucleotides) under uncultured bacterium. RNAcentral's name for it is "partial 16S ribosomal RNA". It matches the Rfam family "Bacterial small subunit ribosomal RNA", at positions 525 to 776 of the family's 1533-position model. The record is from RNAcentral.
ACGGAGGGUGCAAGCGUUAAUCGGAAUUACUGGGCGUAAAGCGCGCGUAGGCGGUUUGUUAAGUCGGCUGUGAAAGCCCCGGGCUCAACCUGGGAAUUGCAGUUGAUACUGAUCGACUAGAGUACGAGAGAGGGAGGUAGAAUUCCACGUGUAGCGGUGAAAUGCGUAGAUAUGUGGAGGAAUACCAGUGGCGAAGGCGGCCUCCUGGCUCGAUACUGACGCUGAGGCGCGAAAGCGUGGGGAGCAAACAGG